This 381-nucleotide unclassified non-coding RNA is filed under the name soil metagenome. RNAcentral describes it as "partial contains 5.8S ribosomal RNA, internal transcribed spacer 2, and large subunit ribosomal RNA". The stretch from base 1 to 120 matches the Rfam family "5.8S ribosomal RNA", at positions 35 to 154 of the family's 154-position model. The record is from RNAcentral.
GAUGAAGAACGUAGCGAAAUGCGAUAAGUAAUGUGAAUUGCAGAAUUCAGUGAAUCAUCGAAUCUUUGAACGCACCUUGCACCCUUUGGCAUUCCGAAGGGUAUGCUCGUUUGAGUGUCAUUGUACUCUCACACUUCUGAUCCUUUGGAUUGGGAGCGGUGGACUUGGGUGUUGCUGCUUUACUGUGGCUCACCUCAAAUGCAUUCGUGCAACUCUUGGUUGGACAUAGUACGGCGUGAUAAGUAUCUUCGCCGGCACCUCGCAAGAGGGUGGCUGAUCAGGAGCUCUGUGCUUUCCAACUGUCUUCAGACAACAACUGACAACUUGACCUCAAAUCGAGUAGGACCACCCGCUGAACUUAAGCAUAUCAAAAGCGGAGGA